UUUUGNNNUGGGCCNGUUCAUUCUGUCCGNNCCGGAAGCUGACNCGUUNAAUAUGCCNCCUGGGGGAGUACACUCGCAAGGAUGAAACUCAAAGGAAUUGACGGGGGGCCCGCCACCAAGCGGUGGAGCAUGUGGNUUCNAUUCGACGCAACCGCGAAGAAACCUUACUUGGGCUCGAACCGGCUUNUCAACGCNCGGUGGAAACACUGGUAUCCCCCCAAGGGAGUGGAGUCGANGUNCNGCCAUGGCUGUAGUCAGCCUCGUGUCGUGAGANGNUGGGCUAAGUCCCGCCAACGAGCGCGAACCGNUGUCCUGUGUUGCCAUCAUUCAGUUGGGAACUCGCAGGAGACCGCCAGCGAUAAGCUGGAGGAAGGNGGGGAUGACGUCAAGUCCUCAUGGCCUUUAUGUNCCAGGGCUACACACGUGGAACAAUGGACGGUACAAAGCGCAGCAAACCCGCGAGGGGGAGCCAAUCGCAAAAAACCGUUCUCAGUGCGGAUUGCAGGCUGCAACUCGCCUGCAUGAAGCUGGAAUCGCNAGUAAUGGCAGAUCAGCACGCUGCCGUGAAUACGUUCCCGGGCCUUGUACACACCGCCCGUCACAUCACGAAAGUGGAUUGUACUAGAAGUCUGCAGGCUAACCCGCCAAGGGGGGCAGCGGCCCAAGGUAUGAUCCAUGAUUGGGGUGAAGUCGUAANNAGGUACC
This 705-nucleotide ribosomal RNA is filed under the name uncultured bacterium. RNAcentral describes it as "partial 16S ribosomal RNA". It matches the Rfam family "Bacterial small subunit ribosomal RNA", at positions 816 to 1500 of the family's 1533-position model. The record is from RNAcentral.